Molecule: transfer RNA, 63 nt
Filed under: human gut metagenome
Rfam family: tRNA
About the family: Transfer RNA (tRNA) molecules are approximately 80 nucleotides in length.
Source: RNAcentral
ACUUAGCUCAGUGGUAGAGCAAUCGGCUGUUAACCGAUUGGUCGCAGGUUCGAGCCCUGCAGU